Molecule: ribosomal RNA, 229 nt
Filed under: uncultured bacterium
Lineage: Bacteria
Description: partial 16S ribosomal RNA
Rfam family: Bacterial small subunit ribosomal RNA
Source: RNAcentral
UAAAGUGGCGUACGGGUGAGUAACACGUGGAUCAUCUACCCUCUUGUGGGGAAUACCGCUGGGAAACCGGCGACAAUACCGCAUAAGCUCGAGAGAGGAAAGCCGAAAGGCGCAGGAGGAGGAGUCCGCGGUCGAUUAGUUAGUUGGCAGGGUAAAAGCCUACCAAGACUGUGAUCGAUAGCCGGCCUGAGAGGGCACACGGCCACACUGGCACUGAAACACGGGCCAG